RNAcentral lists this ribosomal RNA (724 nucleotides) under uncultured Fusobacterium sp. RNAcentral's name for it is "bacterial SSU rRNA". It matches the Rfam family "Bacterial small subunit ribosomal RNA", at positions 28 to 776 of the family's 1533-position model. Lineage: Bacteria; Fusobacteriati; Fusobacteriota; Fusobacteriia; Fusobacteriales; Fusobacteriaceae. The record is from RNAcentral.
GAUGAACGCUGACAGAAUGCUUAACACAUGCAAGUCGACUCGAGUCUUUGGACUUGGGUGGCGGACGGGUGAGUAACGCGUAAAGAACUUGCCUCAUAGUCUGGGACAACAUUUGGAAACGGAUGCUAAUACCGGAUAUUAUGCUUUCUUCGCAUGGAGGAAGUAUGAAAGCUAUAUGCGCUAUGGGAGAGCUUUGCGUCCCAUUAGCUAGUUGGUGAGGUAACGGCCCACCAAGGCGAUGAUGGGUAGCCGGCCUGAGAGGGUGAACGGCCACAAGGGGACUGAGACACGGCCCUUACUCCUACGGGAGGCAGCAGUGGGGAAUAUUGGACAAUGGACCAAAAGUCUGAUCCAGCAAUUCUGUGUGCACGAUGACGUUUUUCGGAAUGUAAAGUGCUUUCAGUCGGGAAGAAGCAAGUGACGGUACCGACAGAAGAAGCGACGGCUAAAUACGUGCCAGCAGCCGCGGUAAUACGUAUGUCGCAAGCGUUAUCCGGAUUUAUUGGGCGUAAAGCGCGUCUAGGCGGCAAGGAAAGUCUGAUGUGAAAAUGCGGGGCUCAACUCCGUAUUGCGUUGGAAACUGCCUUACUAGAGUACUGGAGAGGUAGGCGGAACUACAAGUGUAGAGGUGAAAUUCGUAGAUAUUUGUAGGAAUGCCGAUGGGGAAGCCAGCCUACUGGACAGAUACUGACGCUAAAGCGCGAAAGCGUGGGUAGCAAACAGG